GCUGGGCUAGGGGCCGGGGUUGCGGGUGGAGCCGCGCGGCAGCGGGCCGGCAGCCGCGGGUCGGGAGCUGGUUCCGGCCCGCGGGGGCGUGGGGAACGGCCGCGAGACGUUGGAGGCAGCCGGACCGCGGCGCGCAGUGGCGGGCCCUGCGGGCUUGCGCCCCUCCCCGGUCCCGGCUGCGGUGGCGCACCCCCACCCUUCCCGGGAGGAGAGGCGUUGACCUUGUACGCCGGGCGCUCUGAAGUUCCAAAAGCCUGCGGGCCGGGCUUGGGGGGACGUGCGGGCGGUGGGGCCGGGAGCACCGCGCAGGCGGGGCAGCAGCGUUGGGGGCGUGGAAGGGGCCGCGGCCGUGCUCGGAGCCCCCACGCCCCCGUGGCCCUGGGACAGUGACCCAGAGCCCCCCUUCGAGAGAUGCUGAAGGGCUGCAGAUGCCUUCGGCCUGCUUGUGCCGGCUUAUGCAGUCCCUCCUGAUUUGAACGGAAUUUCGGUCAAUGUGCAUUUUUUUCUCCAUGUUUAUCAUAACCCCAAUGAAAAACUUACAGAAAGUUGAACCGGUAUUUAAAAUUGUGAAGGUCGAGAAAAAAUUACAACCCCCGGCUUUGGUGGGUCGGCCGGGGUGUCUGGUGGCCCUGGAGGCCGUCCGUCUGCCCGCGCGCCCGGGGCCUGUCCCCGCCUGCCAGCUUGGGCGGUGUGCCCUCGGCCCGGCCUGUGGGGCAGGCCCUGUCCCGGAACCCACGCAACCCGGCCUGAGCGCGCCCAGAGGCGUGGCGCCUCCGCGGGGCAGGAGAAAGCCUUCCCGGAAGCCAGCCUGGAGAACUGGAAAAACAAGUGCUGACGGCCCAAAACCAGCUAAGAAGGGAGCGUGAGCUUUUCAGAAGGCGCUGAAGGAAUGUCCAGUCUGGACAGGUGGAACUUAAUUCCCGUGCCCGUGAGCAUGUGUUGGACUUAAGUGACUCAUUUUAUGGAUGGAAUGUGGUAAAGGCAAUCACUGGGUCAUAACAGACAAUGUGGCCUUUCUCUUUUGGACCUGCUGCCAUGUCAUGGGCACCGUCAGGCAGCCCUAUGGAGAGGCACACGUGGUGAGGCACUGAGCCCGUUGCCACCAUGUGAAGACACCAUCUCAGAGGCAGAUCCUCCAGACUCGGUCAAGCCUUUGGACAACCACAACCCUGGCUGACAUCUUGUCGGCAACCUUGUGGGAGACUUGAAACUGCUGCUGCCCAGAUAAGUCACUUCUGGCUUCCUGACCCACAGGAACUUUGAGACUAAAAAUGUUUUCCAUUUUAGGGUAAUUUGUUAUGCAGCAAUAGAUAACUAACAUAGCACCUUUACUCGCCAUUAAAAAGACUAACAAUGGCAAGUGUCGAUGAGCAUGUGGAGCUACUGGAACCCUCACCACUACUGGUGGGAGUGUAAACUGGUACAACCAUUUUGGAAAACAAUUUGGUAUUAUUUCUAUUUCCAUUGUUUUCUAUAUAACUGAAGGCUUCCAUUUCCAAUGACCCAUCCCCAGUGACCCAGCAAUUCUACCCACAAGAAUAUACCCAGCAGAGGUGUACACGUGCGCAUCAGGAUACAUACACAGAAUGUUCCUAACAGCAUGAUUAGUAAUGGCCCCAAACAGGAAAUGGAUCCAAAAAAUCAGCUCACAAUGCAUUCAUACAAUGGAAUGCUGGGAGCUCUGAAAGUUAAUGAAUUGUCACUGCAUGCGAUAAAUCACAUGAAUAGGUCUCAUAAGCAUUAAAUUUGAGUGACAGAAGCCUGACACAAGAGUACAAAUCAUGCAAUAUCCCUUAAAUGAAGUGACCUUUGGUGAGGUGGAGGCCUUGGGGGCUUCUGGGGAGUCAGCGAUGUUUUACUUCUGAACCUGCAUCGUGGUUAUGUGAUAUUCAGUAUGUUUUCUGCACAUUUUUUUGUUUUGUGCUUUUUUCUGUGUGAGUGUAUACUUUAAAGAAGAUUAACAAAACCCUGACAAAUCAGCAACACAAUAACCACGAAACCCUGGUUUCACGGGCCUGUCUCAACAGCUCUAACACGUGGCUCAGCAGACAACCUGACGGCCCAAACCACCAGCUGGGCCUGCGGCUCUCCUGUGGGUGUGACCCCUAGGAGCCCAUGGAAUGUGUGUUCUUGGGCGUCCCCCAUGAGUAACUGUCCUUUGAGUAAAGCUGGAGAACAGAGUUUGAGGUGUGUUCUCUGGCU
Non-coding RNA from Manis javanica (Malayan pangolin), 2202 nucleotides. The record is from RefSeq and is a predicted model, not a curated record. NCBI's taxonomy places the organism in Eukaryota, Metazoa, Chordata, Mammalia, Pholidota, Manidae.